RNAcentral lists this unclassified non-coding RNA (159 nucleotides) under uncultured Herpotrichiellaceae. RNAcentral's name for it is "sequence contains ITS2". The record is from RNAcentral. Lineage: Eukaryota; Fungi; Ascomycota; Eurotiomycetes; Chaetothyriales; Herpotrichiellaceae.
UCAACCAUCAAGCCUAGCUUGUCGUUGGACCCUUUGUCACCUGGCGACAGGUCCGAAAGAUAAUGAACGGUGUCAUGGCGACCCUAUAUGCAACGAGCUUGUAAAAUAGCACGCAUUUGGUGGUCGUCUGGCCCGAUCGUCACCUUUUAAUUUUCUCCA